UGGGGAAUAUUGGACAAUGGGCGAAAGCCUGAUCCAGCCAUGCCGCGUGUGUGAAGAAGGUCUUCGGAUUGUAGAGCACUUUAGGUUGGGAGGAAGGGCAGUUACCUAAUACGUGAUUGUUUUGACGUUACCGACAGAAUAAGCACCGGCUAACUCUGUGCCAGCAGCCGCGGUAAUACAGAGGGUGCAAGCGGUAAUCGGAAUUACUGGGCGUAAAGCGCGCGUAGGUGGUUAGUUAAGUUGGAUGUGAAAUCCCCGGGCUCAACCUGGGAACUGCAUUCAAAACUGACUGACUAGAGUAUGGUAGAGGGUGGUGGGAUUUCCUGUGUAGCGGUGAAAUGCGUAGAUAUAGGAAGGAACACCAGUGGCGAAGGCGACUCUCUGGACUGUCACUGACACUUAGGCUCGAAAGCGUGGGUAGCAAACA
Molecule: ribosomal RNA, 427 nt
Filed under: uncultured bacterium
Lineage: Bacteria
Description: bacterial SSU rRNA
Rfam family: Bacterial small subunit ribosomal RNA
Source: RNAcentral